RNAcentral lists this ribosomal RNA (225 nucleotides) under uncultured Victivallis sp. RNAcentral's name for it is "partial 16S ribosomal RNA". It matches the Rfam family "Bacterial small subunit ribosomal RNA", at positions 568 to 792 of the family's 1533-position model. Lineage: Bacteria; Pseudomonadati; Lentisphaerota; Lentisphaeria; Victivallales; Victivallaceae. The record is from RNAcentral.
UCCGCAGGAGGUUUGUUAAAAUUGGGGUGAAAUCCCGGAGCUCAACUCCGGAACUGCCUUGAUGACUGACGAACUAGAGUGCUGGAGAGGUAAGCGGAAUACCAGGUGUAGCGGUGGAAUGCGUAGAUAUCUGGUAGAACACCAAUGGCGAAGGCAGCUUACUGGACAGCAACUGACUCUCAUGGACGAAAGCGUGGGGAGCAAACAGGAUUAGAUACCCCCGUA